CUGUAAGUUUUCUGAGAGUGUCUCAUCUAAAACUCCUUCUUCUACUUCUCAUUUUUGGAAGAAUCCAAAUCAAGAAGAUGGAGGCAUCUGAUCGACCAUCAAAGAAGGAUCAGCGCAGUACUAGCAUACUGUGCUGAUUUCCUGGACCAAAACUUCUGAUCAUGAUUCGUGGGCUCGUGUGGAUGACUUCUAGAGGUCGGACAUAUGUGCAGCUCGCAACAUCAUCCUCAAGCUCGGAUCAGCAAAGUUAGAACGUCUAACUUGUAAGGUAAUAGAUCUGA
RNAcentral lists this long non-coding RNA (281 nucleotides) under Elaeis guineensis (African oil palm). Its description in RNAcentral is "long non-coding RNA (EGUI_LNC053639)". Lineage: Eukaryota; Viridiplantae; Streptophyta; Magnoliopsida; Arecales; Arecaceae. The record is from RNAcentral.